This 481-nucleotide ribosomal RNA is filed under the name uncultured bacterium. Its description in RNAcentral is "partial 16S ribosomal RNA". It matches the Rfam family "Bacterial small subunit ribosomal RNA", at positions 30 to 507 of the family's 1533-position model. The record is from RNAcentral.
UUGAACGCUGGCGGCAUGCUUUACACAUGCCAGUCGAACGGUAACAGGCCGCAAGGUGCUGACGAGUGGCGAACGGGUGAGUAAUGCAUCGGAACGUGCCCAGUCGUGGGGGAUAACUACUCGAAAGAGUAGCUAAUACCGCAUACGAUCUAUGGAUGAAAGCGGGGGACCGUAAGGCGUCGCGCGAUUUGAGCGGCCGAUGUCAGAUUAGGUAGUUGGUGGGGUAAAGGCUCACCAAGCCAACGAUCUGUAGCCGGUCUGAGAGGACGACCAGCCACACUGGGACUGAGACACGGCCCAGACUCCUACGGGAGGCAGCAGUGGGGAAUUUUGGACAAUGGGCGCAAGCCUGAUCCAGCAAUGCCGCGUGCAGGAAGAAGGCCUUCGGGUUGUAAACUGCUUUUGUACGGAACGAAACGGCUCUGGUUAAUACCCGGGGCUAAUGACGGUACCGUAAGAAUAAGCACCGGCUAACUACGUG